Suricata suricatta (meerkat) is the source of this 216-nucleotide long non-coding RNA. RefSeq lists it as uncharacterized. The record is from RefSeq and is a predicted model, not a curated record. The transcript has 3 exons. NCBI's taxonomy places the organism in Eukaryota, Metazoa, Chordata, Mammalia, Carnivora, Herpestidae.
CCCAGAGCACGGAAGGGAUAAGCAAGGUCACACUGCGUCAGAGACAGGCGCUGAGGAAGGGAGGCUUGGAGCCUGUGAACUGCACCAGAUCUGGGAAAUUCAUGAGAAAAAAAUAUUUUCCACUGUGGCACCACCAUCAGCCUUCUGCUCACUAGCUCUUAAUUUUGGAGAAUCCCUUCCUUGCCCGUCUGCCUUCUAUUUGGGAACGGAUCUACA